Molecule: microRNA, 17 nt
Filed under: Macrophomina phaseolina MS6
Lineage: Eukaryota; Fungi; Ascomycota; Dothideomycetes; Botryosphaeriales; Botryosphaeriaceae
Description: miR-4492
Source: RNAcentral
GGGGGUGGGCGCGCGCG